RNAcentral lists this signal recognition particle RNA (98 nucleotides) under Gammaproteobacteria bacterium. RNAcentral describes it as "signal recognition particle sRNA small type". It matches the Rfam family "Bacterial small signal recognition particle RNA". From Rfam's summary of the family: The signal recognition particle (SRP) is a universally conserved ribonucleoprotein involved in the co-translational targeting of proteins to membranes. Archaeal SRP consists of a 7S RNA and homologues of the eukaryotic SRP19 and SRP54 proteins. The record is from RNAcentral. Lineage: Bacteria; Pseudomonadati; Pseudomonadota; Gammaproteobacteria.
GAAGAUUGGCUACGGACAGUUUCCUCGCNAAAUCAGUCAGGUCCGAAAGGAAGCAGCUGUAACGAGGCUUUAGCUGGGUCGGCAGUCCAGUCUUCCAC